Molecule: ribosomal RNA, 113 nt
Filed under: uncultured eukaryote
Lineage: Eukaryota
Description: partial small subunit ribosomal RNA
Rfam family: Eukaryotic small subunit ribosomal RNA
Source: RNAcentral
UCGCUACUACCGACUGGAUGACUUAGUGAGGUCUUUGGACUGAUACCGAUGCAGCUUAACGGCCGCAUUGGCGUUCGGAAAGAAAACCAAACUGACUCAUUUGGAGGAAGUAA